Long non-coding RNA from Lepisosteus oculatus (spotted gar), 1135 nucleotides. RefSeq lists it as uncharacterized. Lineage: Eukaryota; Metazoa; Chordata; Actinopteri; Semionotiformes; Lepisosteidae. The record is from RefSeq and is a predicted model, not a curated record.
GUAGCGCCACACAAUCAUCUAUACAAUGCAAAAAAGUGGAAUUGAGAUCAUUCGUAUCUUAUGCCUUAAUAGAUACCCUAUGCGUGUGUAUUUUCCCUUCUCAGCAAAAUUGCGUGUGACGUCGGUCAGACUCUUAAAUUCAGUUUUUGCUUUGGCCUUACUUAACAUCUUCAUCCAGCCCAUUUGAAGGUAUCGUGUCUCACACUUCAGCCUCAAAAUAUCGGGCGGGGGUGCGAAUCUGAUCGCCCACUCGUGCUUUCGCGCUGUGAUGAAGUGAGGUUUCACCAGCAGGGAAGCGCCGGGCUCUACAGCAGCCAGGUGCGCUCUGGUGAAUUUGACUCCACGAACCAGCUACGGGCUCCUGCGGUCCGUCCUUUCGAAAAAGUGACGCGAAAAACUCCACUGAGCAGAGCGAUCUGGGGUUAGAUUCCCCUUUGAGAAAGACGUCAACAAAGCCUUAAUCUUGGGUGACGAUAAAGACAGCGUGGACAUGUGGGGAUCCAAAAUUCCACCGAGACGCUCUGAGACAGAAGAAGAUCAUCCAGUUAAAAGCGAUGGCGUUGGAUACAACUGGUUACUGAGAUCGGAAUGAAAAGAAGGUGUAAUCCAGUUUUGAACAAAACCACGCUUUUAUUUAAAAUGGUGAGGCCGAAUUUACAUUUAUGGAGCGUCUUUUCGGCGGGAGGUUUAUGUUGUAGUUGACACGUCUGGUAGCUGAAGACUUCAGCACAGAGCAUGUAGGACCUUCACAAACUUCAUAUACACCUGCCUUUAUUAAAAUAUAAGGGUUUGUAAACUGGGUAAUGGAGUUUUACAUAUUUGAAAUACCCCAAUAGGAUAAAUAGCGAAAAUGAAUUUGCCAUAAAGUGUUUCCUAACUUACCACCGAAUUGUUGCACGGAAACGGACACCGGUUGGGCCUGUAUUAGCAACACGCGGACUCUUGGAGGACAGGGACAGAAAGAUACCUGUUACAGAGCGCGUUUAGCACGCACCAUUUCUUAGUUCCCUCUUUCUUUUUCUUAUAAUCCCACAUUGAAACAGCAAGCUGACUUGUCACCGCUUUAAUAAACGGAGCACGUUCGUCUCGGACCUCUGGAAACUGCACGAUCUUGCUUUCUGAACAGAAUUUUAGG